CAGACUUGAGGAUGUUGAUUUUUGAUGUGCACUGGAGUCAAAUGCUCAGAAGUGUUGUGAGGCUUGUGCCUCUGCAGAGAAAUCCUGCAAACUCAUGAAUGUGUGAUACGCCUCUUCUGAGGCGCAUCAUGUGUGGGCAAGCAUUUAUCUUCAUGGGGGUGGCAGCUGAGGAGGACAUGACCAGCCACAAAAGUCAUUUUUGUUGUUUGGUAAAACAAUUGGACACACCUCAUCUGGUGAUGCUGUCUGCUCAGAGCAGGGCAGGGAUGAAUGCUCUAUGGUCCCAGCACCGGGCAGCAGCUGAGCCUGCAGAGGUGCAGGUUUUGGAGGCUGUGGUUGUGCCUGAUCCUUCCAGAGCAGAGGUGUUAGAGGAAGAGGAGGGUGUGGAGAAGAAUAUGAGGAUUUUGAGAGUGGUGAGCUCCAGAGGCUCUGUGGUGGAGAGGU
RNAcentral lists this small RNA (444 nucleotides) under Histoplasma ohiense. Its description in RNAcentral is "hypothetical lncRNA". The record is from RNAcentral. Lineage: Eukaryota; Fungi; Ascomycota; Eurotiomycetes; Onygenales; Ajellomycetaceae.